This is a long non-coding RNA of Gallus gallus (chicken), 16151 nucleotides long. RefSeq lists it as uncharacterized. The record is from RefSeq and is a predicted model, not a curated record. Lineage: Eukaryota; Metazoa; Chordata; Aves; Galliformes; Phasianidae. The transcript has 4 exons.
ACAUUUUUGAAUAAUUCACUUAAGAGAACAAUUUGCAGUUUAAGUUGCUUUCUUUAUUCUACAAGUUGUCAUUAAAAAAGAAAGAUCUGAAGGCAUGCUUGUUGUAACUAAAGUACUGUAACAUGCACUUUGCAGUGCAAGUCUUCACAGUUCCCUCUAUCUGUGCUCUUCAGCGUGGGGGUUAUUCAAAAGUGACUGAACAAUGAAUAUGGACCAAGGACAGCAUGGCUUGCCCUGACAAGUUGCAUUUUUGAUAAGUGAAUUAAUAAGAAUUAUGAAUCAUUAGUUUGUCCUACGCUACUACUGCCAUCAGGUAUUUUUUCCACAUUCCUCAGCUUUUUGUGAGCUGAAGCUGUGUACAAAAGCAAAGUCCAUUCAUCUGUAUGCAGUGACUACAGUGUGAAUUGUUCUGACUUCAUGCCUUGAAUUUAAUCUCUUCACUUAUGAGCCUGUAGCUUGAUGCUGUGAUACUCAUGGAUAGUACCCUCAGAAUCCUUUUUCCACACAGCAAUAGCACAGAGAGAAAAGGGCCUUCAGUAUUUCAUCUCUUGUUACUGUUGUUUAUUUUUUGUUUUAUUUCACCAAGAACAGAAGCCUCAGAUGUACAAAAGUGUCUGUAUCUUGUUAUAUGGCCAUACCUACAAGCUAAUCUCAGUGUCUAAGAACUAGUAUUAUAAGGUAACAAAGAAACAACAAGAAAAAAAAAAAGAGAAUACAAGCAAAGUGACAUACCCGAGGUCAAGAAGUGCUCUGUAGACCUCUCUGUCUCUCCAGUCAUAAGAAAGGCAAUUACUAUGUAAAACCUGGAAAAGUGUGUGCCGCACUCACUAUAUUACAAAUACUUUGAAAACAAAGGAUGUUUCCACCACAUAGUAAUGACAAAUUCUCACAGAGAGACUAAUGAGAUUUUGUAUGAACCAACUGCUGCUUGCCUUCCAUUAAAUCAAACACUUCUAAAAAUUUGGAAAUCCCUUUUAGUAAAAACAAAAAAAGAAUUAGAGUGACAAUGAUCAUCUGUGAAGCCACGUGUGGUAGAGAAAUCCAGUGUCAUUUUAUGUACUAGCCACCAAAAAGACACAGAAAAUAAACUGUAACACUGAACAGACCCUAAGGUCAAAGGAAGCUCUGUAAAAGACAGACUUGAUACAAGGUUGACUUCCAUUGUUAAAGGAUGUGGUAUAUGUUAUGCAAAAUACCUUUAUUUUUGAAGGAAUCUUACCUGAAUAUUUCUACAGGAUCUCCUCAAAGCCCCCUGAAAAUAAUAUAUAUUAUAGUGUUAGACAAUGCCCACUGGAGACUCAGGAAAAAAAAAAUUGCCUACUGAAUGCAAGUGAGGCCAAAUGUCUGCAUCUGUCCAGUAGAGCCAUGGAGAUACCUUGAUUUGAUUGGUACCUGUGGCCACCAGUGAUGUGCAAAGAGGAGACAUGAUGAGCAGUGGUGAUUAGCAGGCAUACCUCCACAGAGGAAUGGGAAUGAGAAAUGCCUUUUACAUGAGUUUAAAUUCAUGGCCUAAAUCUAUAACUGUAUCAAUUCUGCUCCUAAUUAUAUACAUUGUUUCACUGACAUUUACUUUCUCCUAAAUAUUUCCUCUCUAUUUUCUCCUAAAAGAAAGAUAGGAAUGCUGUUGAAAUAACCAGCGAAGUUAAAUGAUAAUAAUGAGAUUUCAUAUUAGCUAACUUGUUCUCAUGUAGGAGUUUAUACAUCUGACAAUGUAUUCGAAAAGGAAUGGAAUUCCCAUUUAGCAGUGUUGGUUUAUAGAUAUCUAAGCAGUGUAAUUUAUUUUUUACUAAAUUCACCUGCUUGGAAUAUUUCUUUAAUUUUCUCUUAAACAUAAACUCUCUUUAAAAAUAACAUUCGCAUUGAAAUUAUGUCUUCGAGCAGCUUUCUGAUUAGAUCCCCAGUUUGCUCAGCAAUUAUUGCUGAAAUGAUGUGAUCUAAGUAACUCUUUUUCCUGUCUGACAUUAUUUCCCUGUAACUAAUUAUUUUACAGACUCUGCUUUAAUUGCAGGGUGUAGGAGGUACUUUCUAUGGCUGCUAAGUAUUAGAAGGGGACAUGCUCUGCAGAUCAUUAAACGUGCUUCCAGGGAUAAGCACACUUCUGAGACCAAUGACAUUUGUCAAAAUUAGUCAGUGUGUUUGUUGAGAGCAAGAGGCCAGUUCCAGGAGAUGUCUCCUAAUAAUUGCUAGCUUGGUGAGUGCUGUUAAUUAUUUAACAUGAUAUGGAGGACAUAGGCCUUCUCAAGAGAAAUGCUUUCCUUGCUUCUUUUGUUUACAAACAGGAUGCAUUAAAAACCCUUAGUGAUUUAAAUUUGUUUUUUAAACAAAUCCAGACUGACAAUUUUCUUGGUAGCCUGCAAACACUACUAAAGAGGAGACAAGUUACAGACAUCAAAAUAUUAUGCAUAUUUCAUGGCUUCCUAUCAGAACAUAGAGUGAUGUAAAAUAAAACCAUUAACAGAUUUGAGUAUCUGUGCUCAACUUAAACUAGGCCAACAUCAGUGUGUACUUCUAGUGCUACCCACUAAUGACAGUCUAUACGCAACUUAGGUCAGAAGUACUGCUUUGCAACGCUGUCUCUUGCAGUGCUAUUAUUUGCUUUUGUUUUCAUUGUAUCAUUGUAUUAUCAUAUAUUCAUGUUCUCCAUUAGUAUCAUAAGCACCAGGUGACAAGAACACAUCAGAAAUGACCACAGACCAUGAAAGGUAUGAGUAAAGACUGAAGAAGUUGGAGAAAGAGAGGAAAUUUGAAGAGGGGUCAUGGCAAAACCUUUGCCUAGGUAGAAGACAGCCCUAGGGAGAGCUACUUUUACAAAUCCAGGCUAGACAGGAAAAGAAAUAAUAGGAUUAAGUGUGUGUUUGUGGGGGGGGGGGGAGAACCAAAAAAACCCACCAAUGUUUGUUUAGUGAUAAGGAAAUCUAGAAAAAUAAAACAAAUUAGCAAAGAAAUGGAUUGGCUGGGAUUCUCUCUAGCUUAAUUUGGAUUUCUCAUGGGCAAUUAGAUAUAAUAGUUUUUGUCUUUGUGGGCUGACUUCAUCAAACCUUCUUCUAGACCUUGUUUUGCAAGAAUUUUGUCAGGGGAUUCCACCUAGCAUCAAAAAACACUUCCCAGAGAAAGUUUAAUCAAAAUAGAUCUACUUCCAGUAGAAAGUUUCUUUUUGUCAAAUUUAUAGGUUUGGGUAUUUUCUUUAUUUUCAUUUUCAGAAAAAUUUUUCAAAGUGAGGACUCCAGUUCCUGCAAGGGUUCAAGUCAUUCACUUUACUGUUUAGUAAUGGAUUAAUUGUUCUAGAUUAUACAGUAGUGGUGGUGAUAGUAGUAGAGAUUAGCAGAGACAUCCUCCAAACACCUGCAGGUUGUGCUUGACUGUACAGGGGAGCAGUUUUGAUAUUUCUAACCUAGAGACUUUUCUCUCUGUGAAUCUCUGUGUAUUCACAGCAAGUUUGAAUCAUAAUAUAUUGGAUACUGGAGCUCCAGUUAUGAAAGCAUUGCAACUAGCCUUUCAUUAUGCAUACAAGCAUUUAUUUUGCCAUGUUUUUCAGGACUUACUAUGACACUAUUGGAUAGUUUAUUUCCUUUUUCUGGACUAAACAAAUAUGAUUUUGUUCACUUUUGCAAGUAGUUAUAUGGAAAGACAUCUUGAACUGUGUUAGCAUUCAGUUCUUUUUCAUCUCCUUCAAGAACUGCCAAUAAAUAAAUAAAUAAAUAAAUAAAUAAAUAAAAACAACCAAAAAAACCAACACACAUUAAUGACUCUACCUAAAAAAAACUUCCCUUAUUGUAGCAGUUCUCCAUCCUGUCUUAACCACAAGCUGAUGUCUAGCCCCAUGUUCAGAUGUACCUAACUGGAAGGAAAUUUUGCACACAUCAUCACUGACAAAAGUAGAUGAUAUGGAGAUAUACACAGCAAUAAAAUGUUUUAGGUCUGAUUUUCUCUAGAGGACAUCUAGUAAAGAACGAGUAAAGGUGGUCCAGUUACAACGCUGACUCUCUUCCACAUUUGUUACCAGAUAAGAGGACCUUGCAUGGUACUGUAUCAGCACAUACAUAACAAAUGUUUGUCCAUAUCAGCAAAUGUGCAUCAUUGUCCAUAUGCAGUUCUGGGGAGAGCACUCACCAAGCACCUAGGCUGCAGUAUACAAGAAGCAUUAUAUACUUAGGAAAUCCUAUCUUUACCUUUUCCAGCACUUUCGGAUAAUAUUUCCUAUUAAACCAUAUUAUUUGGCGACAUCAUUUGUGAAGAUUAAAAGCAGUAGUCUGGAUUUCUGUUCAGAGGCAAUAGCAGCGCACGGGAAAGCCGGCAAUGGCAUGCAGUAUCUCAGGGGGCUGCUAGAUGGAGCUAAAGCAUGGAUAGAAGCGCACCAUGGAACUACUGCAUUGGCUGCUCAGUCACGGGUUAGCUGAGAAUGGAGGAAAACUGAAGAUGUUUUCUGUCCCUCCUGUUUUCUGCAUCACCUCUAAUGAAAAGAUCGCCUCAGCUUCCUCGGUUUCUCAAAAAAAAAUGUUACAUUCAGAUUUGCCCCAAAUUACUAUCCUCACAUUUUUACAUACUUCUACAGUAUUUUCUAUUUACAACAAAACUGACGGAAUAUAUUUUGCCAAAGAGACAGUUUACCAAGAAACUGUCAUUUUGGGGAGACUAACAUUAUUUAUGGAAAGAAAUGAGAACUGCUAAAAUAAUUUAUUUCAACAUUUCCAGAAGGAUACGCAUAGACUUCUGGGUUUCUAACAGCAUAUUAAUUCAGAAAUUCAGACUUGUUCAAUUUUUGAGAAUGUUUACUCACUGCAGAAGGGAGAAACAAAGUGAAUAACAUCUAUAAAAUGAAGUGAGUGUUCCAUCAAAAUUGGAAUGGAAUGUUUCAUGUAAAAUGAGAAACAAAGUUUUAUAUUUUUUUCCAGCUUCACGAAGCAAGUAGUAUAAUUGUAGUAAUGUAUUAUAUUGACUAUGUUGUGAAUAAAAAUCAGUUUUGGUCCAUCCAAUGUACAUGUUCUUCAUUAAUAGUUACAGUAACUACAAUUUUGCACACAUUUUCAUGUGAUUUAUGUUCAUCCUGUGGUGUCAGCUGAGGAGGUUUUAAGAGGCUGGUAUAAGCUUUGACUCAUACCAAAGACAAAAUCUUCUCUCAAGGGAAUACAUUACAAAGUCAUACAAAGGCUAUUAAAAAUUAAACAGUAUAAUAUACUGUGUUUCCUAUGGGGGGAAAAAAUGCUGUCAGAUAAUAGAGAGAGUUACAUGAGGGAUAAAAUAUAGGCAAAUAAUUAAAGCAUUCACUUAAAAAAUAUGGGAAUUGUUCUCAGAGUGAUUAGCUCUUGUUUGUAUAUGAUGUAAUUUUGAAAACUACUGAUAAUUAGAAAAAGCUUAAAUCUAAUUUGUUUUGAUGCCAAUAAAUGCAGGCAGUGACAGCAUUUGUCUGAGUAGCUUGAGAGAAUUUAACAUUAAUCAGGAUUUUAAUUAGCAAAACAACAAAUUGACUAUAAUUCUGUGGAGACAAGUUGUAAAAAAGUCCUCAUAGGUCAGAUUCAAUUAACUUGUAACCAAAAGAGCAUGAAGCCACACUGUGAUUUAGCAAGACCAAUAUCUGCCCAAGUUUCAUUCAUAAAACCAUUAGAUCACAAGGCUUCCAUCAACAGCAUUAUUAGAAAGCACCAAUGAGUGUUCUCAAUGCUUAAUUUAUUUGUUCCUUUUCUGGGCAUAAAAAUAGAUGGGCAUUUUCACCAUGUCUGGAUGUCUCAUGCACCAUCUAAACUGUAAUUCCUGCCUCAGUAUGAUAUGGAAGCAUGUGUCAAACAUGGGCCAAUCUAAGCAAUCACAAGAGGAAAAUUACUGAGAAAAAUUCCUAUAGUGAAUAUCUUGGCCUGGUGUUUUUUGUCACCAUGAUACUUGACAGAGGGAAGGGAUAACUUGCUCUACCCAUGCUCAGAGUCAACUAAACAUCAGCUGUCUAUGGUUAUCAUGGUUCCAAGUCCAAACAAAAAGUUUGGAAUAGCCUUGAAAUGUCACUUUGGUUUUAGAUUGGUAUUGGAUUGCAUGCCAGCAUUAUUGCCUGAAAUACACAUAGCAGAUAUCUCGUCUAAAGAAGUGAAGAUAUUUAUUGUUAUUAUUGGACCCAUUUUAGGUUGUCUUCAGCUCUGGUCAUUUUUUUGUUUGUUUGUUUGUUUAUUGUGGCAUGAAAUAUUGCUGCUCACAAAAGAACCAGCAAGAUCAGUGAAAAAUUUUCCUUUCUGAAGACUGUAAACAGAUAAGCAAAGACUUUAAAAUGAGAUUUGAUUAAAACAUUUUUUUUUUAAUUGAACUGAAGAAAAUACGUUUUAUUCUUUGCUCUGUUCCCACUAAAAAUACAUGUUAAUUCUAUACAUUUUAUGUAAUUGAAAAACCACAGCAUUCUAACCAAAGCUCCUCAAUAUCUGUUCUCUGUUUUGACAUGCUUUGCACCUCUUGGUAUGAGUUUUCAUCUGGAUGACUUCAUUAACGCUGACUGACUGUACUGCCUCUCCUGAGCAUGACCAGCAAGCACAGAGGAGCUCACUGGGUCCCAAACAGCAAAACCCCUUUUGGAGCUGGACUCAGGAGAACUGUGCAAAAACCACCAAAAUAAUACUGUAGGACUGCUAGCACAACAGGAUAAAACACAGCAGACACUGCAUACCCCCUUCACAACCAGACAUUCCAUCUGCUCCCAAUCUGUCCUGAAGAAAUCAAGCUCAUCAAUUAAGAUGAGAGCUCCUCAAAGACAGGAUCACUUGAGUUCACUUCACAUCAAUAAAGAAAUCAAGUCAAACUUUUUGUAUCCUGAAGUUUGUGCUAGAGCUCCAUUAGGAAGAAAGGAAGAAAAUUCUUCACCACAUUAAUCAUGGGCCAGGAAAAGAAGUUGUGUUUAAACUGCCAACUGGAGAACAGCUCCCACCUACUGAGUUUUUGAAAUAAACUUCAUUUUGGACAAGAAUUUAAAGAGAUACACUUUUGAACGUGUUUGCCAACAAUUUUUUUUUUUUUAGAUAAAAUGCUUAUUGUUAGAUCACUAUCUGAAGUAACAGUUUGACUUUUAUAAUACAAGAAUUCUGCUUACAACCUUCUGGAAGCUUUACAAGACCAUAUUUGAAAGUGUAUUUAUGAUUUUUAGUAAAUUUUCUCUUAAGGUAUUUGUCCAAGACAAAUAACCAAUCAAUUACUAGUAUUUAUUUAAUGAUUCAUACUCAGAGAAAAAGUCAACUUUUGGAAUUUUUUAAGUUCUAAAAUAUAAAUCAUGCAGAUCAUCAUUUCCACAUCACUUUUUUUUUUUUCUUUUUUUUAAUCUUGCAUUGGAAAGUGUUUCUUUCUUCUCAGUUCAAAGAACAAACCAAUACACAAUUAUUUUACUCCAAAUCACCAAAAUCCACUAAUUUCAACAUGACAUUAUUUUUACAUAAGCAAAACAGCUUUCACUUAAAGUUUCUAAAAAGAAAGCUUUAAAACAGGUAGCUAUUAUUCUUAUCUGCUGAUCAUAAAAUAAUUAUAGUUCAGGUCAAUCUCUCUACAACAAAUGAAGAUUUAUUCAGAGUAUUGAAGAAGCCUAUUGAAAAUUUGUUUUGAAUUAAAUGCAUCAGUAGCAUUUGCUGAACACAAGCCUUUACAAAAAAACUAUACCCCAAGGAUACAUGUUUUUGUUGUUUUGUUUUUUUUCCUGCUGAGGCUGAAUCAUCCGGUGUAUGGGAAUUGGUAGGUCAUGGCCUGAAGCAGUGACUGAGCACCAGGUGAGAAGGCGUGCCUAAUCCAGGGAGCUCAGGUGCAAACAAACCUCACCCUCCAUGAGGGUUAGCAGCCAAGAGAGAAGUAUUUCUAUUUGGAGACUGUGCCCUUCUCAAGACUUUGCCACCUUCAGAAAGGCACUCCCUAUGUGGCUUAUGCAUCUGUGGUGAUUCAAGACCUUGGCCUCUGCAUUCAAGAGAAAUGUAAGUGCAUUUCACCAAGCACAUUUAGUGUAAUUUGGCUAUAUUUAUGAUGUUAAAUUAAGAACAAUGUUAUUUGUUGCAGGGAACAGCUUUUCAGUAUAAUUGGGAUCAUACAAAGAUUAGCACAACAGAAUUAAAAAACCCAGGACCAUUACUAUGCCUCCAAAUGUCAAUAUAAAUUAUCAAAAUAUGAGCUAUAAACUGUAAUCUCAUGUUAAAUACUAUUAUCAGGGCCAAGGUCAUUGCUCCAUAGGUGAACGUAUCAAACCAAGCUAUGGACAGCCUGGAGAGGUUAACCUUCCCACUGGCCAAAGUACCAAACUCAUCCAGUUAAUUUAGAUAGCCUCUAAAGGCUCAGCUUUCAUUUAUUUAAUGUAUUGCUUCAGUAUAUUUUAGUUCAGUUUUUCUUUUCUGCUGUAUACCUCACACCCUCUUGAAAUGGGAUUUUGACCAAACAAAAUUAUCACAAAGACUUUAGUGGCACUGCUUUCUGGGGGGGGAAACAAAACAACAACAACAAAAAACAAAACAAAACAAACAGACAAAAAAACCCAAAAAAGUCACAAAAGCACAGGGACAGAAAGAAAUGUGUUUAUUUGUAUUUGUGCCAUGUAUGAAAUUCUGUAUGCAACCCUGUGAGAAACAGCCUCUGGGGAGUCAUGAACUGUUUCUCCUAGAGAGUGAAAAGGGGCUGCGGUAGCAAACAUCCAGAGAAGCCAGGUUGCACGCCAGUGGCAAGUGCUGGUGGCUGCCUGCGAUUUCCAAAAGCUCUUGUGUUACAUCAAGUGUUCAGGAAAGACCUUUCCCUGGGGCUAUGUGUGAGCUAGGAAGGUGGCAAGAAGGAUUUUGUGUGAGCGGGGCCAUCACCACAUGUCCCAAAGUGGGAAGCAGUGCAGGGAGGGCAGUGUGCUUGCUUCUGUUGAGCAGGCUUGCCCUCCUGGUGGCAUCGUGACCUGCAUUUGAACUUCUCAGAAACAGCAGCAUUUGUCUUCCUCUAAAACCUCUCAGAGAUGAAACACAAGAAACAUUUCACUUGUCAAGACUGUUUACUACCUGUUGAAGUAAAUGUAAAUUUGAUGUUUCUCUAAGAAGGAGCUGAUGGCUUUACUCUGUGCUAACGUAUCCGUAGAUGUCUUGGCAUUUGAUUUUGCUAUUUUGAUACUAGAAGCAAUUUUCCUAUGAUUUAGUGUCAAAGCUAUAAGGUCAUCUUGACCUGUUUAGAACAUUUCUAAAUAGACUUAAAAAUAAGAGGCAAUGGCAUGAAAAGAAACUGAACUUUUCGGAGGUAUCUCACCACAGGUACCUGUAAAUACUUCUCUGUACCUACAGUGUUUCCAAAUAAUUUUAUUAUUAUUAUUUCAGCAGAGGCUGUCCCUAAUGAAUGUAUAGUUUCAACAAGUAAAACUGAAGCACAUAUGAUGUAAAAGAGAGAAACUGAAUGGCAGUUACCGAUCCUGCUUUGAGCAGUUCUUGCAAUGUUUUCAUUUCAAUGAAGCAAUUCCCUCUUUUCUCCCUGCUAUUCCUUGAGAGCUUGCCCUUCUGACUUUGCCAAGUCAAAAUGAGAAGUUACCAGCUGAGCAGAAAAGACCUGAAGGCUUCCACGGUACAAAGAGACAGGAGAAGGACUGUACUAGUCACCCUGAGCAAGAGUCUGCAUCUGCUGAUUGAAUGGUGAAUUCUAUUUAAUAACUCUGCUUGCUUUUUUGAGUGACAGUGAACUGAUUCCAUUUAAUUACAUGGCCAGUUAGCUAUUAAUGUUUUAAUUAUAAUAGCAUUAUGUUUGUCAUUAAGAAGUUAUGCCCCUAUGAAAACAAUUAUACUUUAAGAAGUAUUUUACCAUUUUACCAUCACAUUUGCUGAGGAAAGAAAGAAUAAAACAAAAUAUGUAAUGGAGUAUGUAUUGCUUACAAGAAAAAAAGAUAGCAUAAGAUCAGGGCUUUGGUUUCUGAUUCUGCUACAUUCUCACAUCAUUAAGCCCUCCCAAGCUUAAGGCUGUGUAGGGCACUUUGAGCCUCCAGCAGAACCAAGAGAAACUUCAGAGCAGUUCUAAUUUGUAUUUGGCUGCAGAAAGGUUUCUUGCAGUCCAUCUGCAGUGCUUAAGUCAAUAUAUGUCAAAGUUGUGGGACUGCUGCUGAAAGCACAAAACUUGUCAUAGAUGUUCAUGUCCUGAUUGAUUUGAGAUAUGGAGCUAUUCUGAAAUGAUUCAGUGUCAUUAGGGCAUCAGUCUGGGAGCUUCUUUGUUGCUGAGAGUUUAUUUCAUUUUAUUCUUAAUGGACUCUCUGCAGUAUCUAUCUCAUUUACAUCUGGUUUCACUCAAAUGGCUGUCACAUUAAAUGGAAAAGCAAAGUACAAAAUCAAUAAUUGCUGCAAGUCUUUAUCACUACUACAAACUUUUAAUGUUUACUCUCAAAACUUUCUUUCUGUGUGCUGUUUUAUCCAUCAGUUGAUAUGGAUUUUAUUUUAAAUCUUGUAAUGUAAAUCACAAGGUCUUUAGCUGAAGUGCACAUUCCAGGAAUAAAUACAGCUUACAAAUGAAUUUUAUGAUAUCAAGAUGUGUCAUUCCCUUAUUUAGGAGUGUGUAUAUGUCUUUUACAUCCUUUGCAGCUGAUGUUUAGUCUUUACAUUCAUCAGCUACGCAGUUUACCUCUACAGUGCUUCAUUUCUGUCACCUUCAGCUUCUCUUUUUCUGCAUGCAAGUUGAUUAGUGCUUCAACUGCCUGCACAUCUGUGUGCACCUUUCUCCAUUCACACUGCUCCACUCACAAUGAGGACUGGGGGUUUAUAACAAACAGCUUCUAUUGGCUACUACAGCUGUCUGGUAAAUAUGUUGCAUUCACAUGAGAAGGGAACACCUUCCACGUGCUCUACACGGCUGGCAUGAACAGUAGCAGGACUUUGCUGGUGUAGUCAGAGAAACAUGUAGAGUACAGCUCUGCAAGUACGUAUUUCAGAUAAUAUCAUAAGUUAUACUUUGUGUGUUUGCCUCCAUUAUUCUCUCCCACAUAAAAUAAAUCCCCUUCAGUAGUGUUUGGAAAUUAAGGGCCAUGUGAGCAUGUUGUGUAUGUUCAGCAAUAUAACAAGUGACGUAUUUGCGAAACGAAGUCAAAACCAGUAUGUUUUCUGAGCUAGUGGAAGCUGUAAAGACCCCAAGUCGUUGCAGAAAUAUCCAAAGUAUCACUGAUGCUGUUGUUUUGAUCUGUUUGAAAGAGUCCUUGUCCUUUCUUCCCGGUCACUCUUGCAAAGUGUUUUCACUAAUUGUUAGAUGAUUGAUUGCUUCUGGUAAUUAAGAGUUCUCAGAAAGAAAAUACAGUACAUAAAGAAAGAGCUUGCUACAUUUUGAAUAUCCAUCAUAUUCCUUCGAGAUCUCUGCCCUGCCUCUGAUGUGCUCUGGAAGUGUCUCUGAACAAAUCUGCCAUAUGAAUAACAGAUGCAAUAUCGAGCCUUAACACAUUUUUAACUUUUCACUGAUGUGAUAGAGAAUAAUCUUGUUUGAUGAAUAAUCUCUGAAAGUCAUAUUGAUGUCUGAGUGUAAACUGUUGAUAUUCAUCAAGAACUCCAAUAGGAACAUUGGGAAGAUCACAGUAUGAUGCAAAGUUCACUUUAUUUCCAAGGUAUUUUAUCAGAGCAGUUAUCUUGCCUGAUGAUAGCUUGUUAUUUUUAGAGAGCGAUGGAGGAUAACAUUGGUUUUCAUGACGAAGGAAUGCUUGUAAGUCACCUUUCUUCCAACAGGGAAUGAAUAAUUAUGAGAAUAAAAGAAAAAACAUUUUUAGAAGGAAAUUUUUUUGCUGGAUCUUUCAUGACACAUCCCUGAAGGUAUCAUGUAUGAAAAAUAUGUUUCUGAAUAUGAGCUCAGAUCAAGUUUAUCUACAAUUCAUGUUUCUUUUUCUCACAAACUCAUAGUGCAAGGCCAACAUAUGUGAUGACACAGGUUUUCUGCAGACUUGUAAGGAUCACUUGGUGUGAACUCCCAAAUAACCCACUGCAUGAUUUUUAACACAGUCCCAUGUUUUCCCACCAGUUAAUUAGCACACAAAUAUGUCCACAAAAUGACUCCCAGAACAUAGCAUUGUGUGGUUCAAAGCAGGUGCUAGCCAGAUAUGGUUCUCUCAUUCCUGCCACAUCAGUCUGAGUCCCAAAACUGUCUCUGCUUUGGCAGAGCCACAGUAGUGAAAAGAAAAAAGACCUAGAUCUAUUUUAAUUAUCCAAAGCAUUAACGGUGAAGGUUUGUUAGCCACACUUGAUAUCAACAUUCUUUCUACUUUAUCUGCACACUUCUUUGCCUUCCCCCUCCUGCUGUCUGAUUAUCCUUUGCUCCUCAAGCAUCAUCAUAAUCCUGUGAUCAAGCAGCUGAGGGCUGUGUGUGCAGUGCUAUAAGUUAUUGUAAAUACAUUGAUAGAACCUAUUAUGUGCUUAUUAUUUUGUCAUAGGUUUCAUGGGGACAACAUGUCUUACAACAAAAAAUUACAGCAUAAUUAAGAAACUCCAUAUUUUCUCUAUAUUUUUCUUCAGUUUUUCACUGAUUCUAAUUCAUCUUAAUGUUAUAGACACAAAAUAUACAGUAUACAGUAAAGAAUACAGAAAAGAUAGAGGACAUUUUUUAUACAGUAUAAGUUUUUUCCUGUACAAGUUUUCUCAAAUUGAUUCACUUCUACUGAUGACAGGCAGUGUUACCCAUGUCAAAACUUGUUCUACUUCGAAAUUCAGCUCCCUUUUGUUAUUGGAUAGUGGUAAUUUUUACUAAGCUUGUCUCUUUCUCAUGGUGACAUUUUGUUUAAAUAAGAAAAUCUGUGUAAAGUGGCUUUGUGCCUAUGGGUGAAUUUAUUUGAAGUGUAAAAUGUCAAACUGGCAACAGUAAUAAUCCUGUAAAUUAGGUAUGUCAAAUAAUGUACAUGUAGACAUUUGAUUCAUCUAAGAGUGGAAGGAUUUCUCUAACUCUAUUUUGAGAAACCUGAGUCAUGAGCUCCCAUUUCUUAAUUGGUACUUUUGACAAAAGUGAGGAAUAUGCCAACAUAAAAAAUUUAUAUCAGAAUGUAGUGAGCCUAGAGUAAAAUUAACUCCUUUUCCAAGUUCAGCAACUCACAGAAAGAUAAAAGAAAGUAAAGUAGAUUUCUCCAAUGCACAUAAACCAGUAUACGUAAUUUCACUACACACUGAAUACAGGAGUAGUUGGGAAGCUUUUGAAGUAAAAAAGAAAGCUGAAGGCUUUGUUAUACUGAUUAAUAAAAAUGCCACAGUAAGCCCUCUUCCUGUGGUCUUCAGUGGUCUUUGGAAUAUGUCAACCCAUCAAAGAUCUGAAAUGUUUCAAUUUGAAGAGUCAGAUUUUGCUUUUGGUUUGCUUGUUCUCCUUUAUCCAUCCUCUUGCUUAAAUUAAACUUCUCAAUGGAAUUUUAUAGUGUCAAUAUGUGAAACAGAAGUCAUCACCAGAAGAUUAUUUUCUAAUUGGCAGACUGGAUUCAUUGUGGACAUGCUAAGAAACUAUGUCCAGACAGUUGCAUGCAUACACAUAUACAUACAUACGUGUGCUUAUAUGCACAUACGUGUUGUUAUUUGGAUUGCAUAGUAUGAGACAAUGUAGAAAGGCCACGUUCUCUGGAGGUGACCUCAUAAUUCACCCUCACCUUGGUGGCCAUGUUCUCCAAGUACAUGACCUCAUUAGUACAACCAAAAAAGCAUGGGGAGUCCCUAGAUCCAGAGGAAAAUCAUAUGGAAUGCUAUGGAGGAAAGACAUCACCAUUUUGCAGUAGCUGAAGAACCAGCAGCUCACAGCCUGAUAUCCUCUCCUGCUCCCUUGUCUGUAGAGUGCUGCCCCUCCAUUCCCUGAGUUCAUUGCUUGGGUGAACACUUUCAGAUCCCUUUUGGUGAAAAUGAGCCAAGAAGCCAAAUACCUAUUAUUCAAGCUAUUCGAGUUCUGUUUGAAAGAGCUGAGUUACAAACCACUUACUCGAGUAGUUUCCCAGCAAGUCUGAAGGGCAGUAGGGAGUAAUAGCAAGCACUAGGGAGUAUGCACUUUUCCAACUUUAUAACUUCAGCUAGAACUUUCUAGGAUUAGACAUUUUCUCUGUGAAAGGAGAAGUAAUUUUAUCUACGUAAUGAGCUUAAUUGCAGCUAUUUGCUUUAAGUACAGUGCCAAUCGUUUUCCUUCUUCAGAGACCUACAAUGCUAAAACAGACUGGGGCACAUUUCCUACUGAAGCUUUGCCACUUCCUCUUUAGUCAGUAGGGUUUUCUCCCUGUUGUAACAAUAUCAAUAUGCAUUCAGACAUCUUCUAUAUACCAUAUUAUUUGCAUAACUAGUAUGCACAAUACCACUGUAUCGUGUGAUUCUAUUAUUUUAUUGUGUGUAUACUAUUCUAUUGUACUAUGCAGCAUUUUUUUUCCCGUGCUUUACCUGCUAUUCUUACUGCACUGACAAGAGAUAAUCAGCAGCAAUUAUUCUCUCUUUCAGAGAAAGCGAUAGCUUUGUUGGAUUUGUAGGGCACAAUGUGGAUUAAAAAUGCUACCAUCCAAAAAGAAAGAAAAACCAUUUCAAUUAUAAAUCAUUUAAAUUAUUAUUUAUCAUAUGCAUACCAGGUUAAUCCUAUGGUACAGACAGAAAAUGGGAAUUAUUUAGCCCUUCUUAUAUAGAGUUACAAAUCCAUGCGACUCCUUAGGGAUGGGACUACUCUCAGCCCCCACUGCACAGCUAUUGUGCAGUGAAUUCUUUCCAUUUCUUCUCUCUUUACUGCUUUCCUCACAGACCCAUAUCAUUGUUCUCAUUCUGUGCACUUGAGUCAGGGGACUAUUUUCUAUAUGAGUGUAGCUAAGAACUGCAGAGGAACAUUUUAUCCACAAUUACUCAGGAUUUUCUAAACAAUAGAUCUCCCAUCUCAAAAUAGAUCAAUGACCCAUAAAAGGUGGGGUGGGUAAGAUGGAGAAUCAGACCUGAAAAUACUAGAAAUCCAUAACUGAACCUUUGCAAACAGUAUUCUCUAUCAGUGGCAGAGACAGAACCGAUCUGCAGUUAGUAUACACUAUAAUAUUUCUAGAAAGUAGAACUGAAAUGAUUUUCUGGCACAUCCAAGUACCAGUACCUACACAGGGACCUGCAGGUACAAACAAGAUCAGUCAAGGGGAUCAGUGCACACGCACCACACCUUGCUGUUUGUUGAGCACAAUGCAAAGACUACUGCAAGCAUUUUAUUAUUAAAUUUUUCAUCUAAUCUUUUUAAUAAACCUUAUGAUAUAUCUCCAAAAUAAGUUAAAAGGAAAAAAAAAAAAAAAAGUCUUUACGCCUGUAAAGCCUGUCUAGUAAAUUUUGCUGGUUAAGGAAGCUGUCUAAAUAUGCUUUGUCCUCCUACCUUAUAAUUAAUUAAUUGCUUUGCAUGGGCUUGUUUCUCUUUAUAUUUUCAGUCUCUGUGUACAUUUCCAAGCUCCUUUAAAAAUAAAAUAUUGUCAACAGCAGAGCUACAGACUAAGUAUAUCUUUAAGUGACCCUGGCUGCCUACCGUCUUUCUCAUGUGUUAAGCUGAAACAUUACUCAGAGCUGGCUAUUAACCACACUGCCUUCACAAACCACUCAGAAUUUGUCAGAUAUUCCUCAGUGUUAAAUGCUAUAAAGUACAUCACAUUGUUUGCGAAAAAAAUCUCACCUUUAUGAUCCUUUUCAUUUCUGCCUAAUUGUCUAAGAUAAGAAUAGCUUGCUGUGCCUUGAGGGGGAAAUUUUCCAUUACUGCUGAAAAGAUAAAUGGUAGAAAGCAAAAUGAACCUGGCUCAUUACAACCUUCUGAAAAAAAAAAAAAAAAAGAAAAAAAAAGGCAAAUUGGUCUUCAGAAAUGAUAUAAUAGAGCUGACACUUUUAAUAGUCUAGAGUUCAAAUGUGGCAUUUCAUAUAAAGUUUUUUCAUAAAGUAUAAUACAAACAAUUACAGAUGCUGGCAGUAAUGAAUGGUACUUAGUUUCUUUUACUAGCUUUACUCUGAAAGUUGCAGGGGGAGGAAAAUGCUUUUACUGAUACCUACUUAAAUGAGAGAAAGGUUACUUUUAAAGAAACAUAACAUUCAUUUCAGUGUGUUUCUAGUCUUAAUCUCUAUAAUAAAUGUACUAAUGUCUUUUGAUCUACUGUGAAAGUGCACAAAUUGCUUAGAAAGCCAGACAGCUCAUUUGAUGCUUUAAAUAUCUGGCGAGCUUUGAAGGACAAGGCUGAAAAACAACUGAUUUCUCAGUAAAAAACAUGAUUCAUAAUAAUGGCAAAA